GAUGAACGCUGGCGGCGUGCCUAAUACAUGCAAGUCGAACGAACGGACGAAAAACUUGCUUCUCUGAUGUUAGCGGCGGACGGGUGAGUAACACGUGGAUACCCUGCCUAUCAGACUGGGAUAACUUCGGGAACCCGGAGCUAAUACCAGAUAAUAUUUUGAACCGCAUGGUUCAAAAGUGAAAGCCGGUCUUGCUGUCACUUAUAGAUGGAUCCGCGCUGACUUAGCUAGUUGGUAAGGUAACGGCUUACGAAGGCAACGAUGCAUAGCCGACCAGACAGGGUGAUCGGCUAGACUAGAAGGGAGACACGGCCCAGACGCCUACGGGAAGCAGCAGUAGGGAAACGUCCGCAAUGGGCGAAAACCUGACGGAGCAACGCCGCGUGAGUGAUGACGGUCUUCGGAUCGUAAAACUCUGUUAUUAGGGAAGAACAUAUGUGUAAGUAACUGUGCACAUCUUGACGGUACCUAAUCAGAAAGCCACGGCUAACUACGUG
This 497-nucleotide ribosomal RNA is filed under the name uncultured bacterium. RNAcentral's name for it is "partial 16S ribosomal RNA". It matches the Rfam family "Bacterial small subunit ribosomal RNA", at positions 28 to 507 of the family's 1533-position model. The record is from RNAcentral.